RNAcentral lists this ribosomal RNA (759 nucleotides) under uncultured Enterobacteriaceae bacterium. RNAcentral describes it as "bacterial SSU rRNA". It matches the Rfam family "Bacterial small subunit ribosomal RNA", at positions 28 to 776 of the family's 1533-position model. The record is from RNAcentral. Lineage: Bacteria; Pseudomonadati; Pseudomonadota; Gammaproteobacteria; Enterobacterales; Enterobacteriaceae.
AUUGAACGCUGGCGGCAGGCCUAACACAUGCAAGUCGAGCGGCAGCGGAAAGUAGCUUGCUACUUUGCCGGCGAGCGGCGGACGGGUGAGUAAUGUCUGGGAAACUGCCUGAUGGAGGGGGAUAACUACUGGAAACGGUAGCUAAUACCGCAUAACGUCGCAAGACCAAAGAGGGGGACCUUCGGGCCUCUUGCCAUCAGAUGUGCCCAGGUGGGAUUAGCUAGUAGGUGGGGUAACGGCUCACCUAGGCGACGAUCCCUAGCUGGUCUGAGAGGAUGACCAGCCACACUGGAACUGAGACACGGUCCAGACUCCUACGGGAGGCAGCAGUGGGGAAUAUUGCACAAUGGGCGCAAGCCUGAUGCAGCCAUGCCGCGUGUAUGAAGAAGGCCUUCGGGUUGUAAAGUACUUUCAGCGGGGAGGAAGGUGUUGAGGUUAAUAACCUCAGCAAUUGACGUUACCCGCAGAAGAAGCACCGGCUAACUCCGUGCCAGCAGCCGCGGUAAUACGGAGGGUGCAAGCGUUAAUCGGAAUUACUGGGCGUAAAGCGCACGCAGGCGGUCUGUCAAGUCGGAUGUGAAAUCCCCGGGCUCAACCUGGGAACUGCAUUCGAAACUGGCAGGCUAGAGUCUUGUAGAGGGGGGUAGAAUUCCAGGUGUAGCGGUGAAAUGCGUAGAGAUCUGGAGGAAUACCGGUGGCGAAGGCGGCCCCCUGGACAAAGACUGACGCUCAGGUGCGAAAGCGUGGGGAGCAAACAGG